AGUGCUUGCAAUAAAAAAAACAUUAUGAAAUAUUAUUAUUUGAAGCUUUUUUUUUGAUAGUCCUUAAUAAAAUAAUGUAUUAAUACUAAUAUAUUUUAUAGAUAAGUGCAUCAUAAAAAUAAUAAAUAAAAUAUACAUUAAGUAUAUAUAUUUAUAUUGAACAAAAAAAAAUACAAUAAAAAAAAUCUUCAUAGGUACAUUUGUAAAUAUUAUGUAAUUUUUUUUUGCGCUUAAACGGAUUGUCUACUUUUCACCGACAAUCGAAACCUGUUUAAUUUAGUUUUGUAUUUACAUUGAUUAGUUUCUUUUCUUUUCUUUCUUCGUUAUUUUCUAUUACUAUGUUAAUUAUUUUUAUUCCUAUAAUUACUAUAUUCUCUGGUUUUUUUAAUUUUAAUUUUUAUGAACACAAAAAUUGGGUGUACGAAAUACAAAAUUGUUUGGUUAUUAAACGCGUUAAAAAGAAAUAUUUAAAACUUUAUUGCAACUGUUCGCGAUAAUAACACUGUUAUAGUAUCUAGUUAGUAGUACAUAUAUUUGUAAACCACAGCCGUUUAGAAUAUAAUAGUUAUAAUAUUUAUUUAUUUAUUUUCGCCCAAUUAGGGCAAUAGGGUGUGCAUGCAAAAAAUACAAUAAGUUAUAAUUUAACUCACAAAAAGAAUUAAUAUAUAUAGAGAAAAAAAAAAUAAUAAUAAUAAAAAAAAUGUGUUAAAUGAC
Cinara cedri is the source of this 714-nucleotide non-coding RNA. The record is from the annotation of a GenBank genome assembly. Lineage: Eukaryota; Metazoa; Arthropoda; Insecta; Hemiptera; Aphididae.